AAACUUUCAACAACGGAUCUCUUGGCUCUGGCAUCGAUGAAGAACGCAGCGAAAUGCGAUAAGUAAUGUGAAUUGCAGAAUUUAGUGAAUCAUCGAAUCUUUGAACGCACAUGGCGCCCCUUGGUAUUCCGAGGGGCAUGCCUGUUCGAGCGUC
This 154-nucleotide ribosomal RNA is filed under the name Erysiphe sp. RNAcentral describes it as "5.8S ribosomal RNA". It matches the Rfam family "5.8S ribosomal RNA". Rfam says of the family: 5.8S ribosomal RNA (5.8S rRNA) is a component of the large subunit of the eukaryotic ribosome. It is transcribed by RNA polymerase I as part of the 45S precursor that also contains 18S and 28S rRNA. The record is from RNAcentral. Lineage: Eukaryota; Fungi; Ascomycota; Leotiomycetes; Helotiales; Erysiphaceae.